RNAcentral lists this unclassified non-coding RNA (188 nucleotides) under uncultured Mortierellomycotina. RNAcentral describes it as "sequence contains ITS1". Lineage: Eukaryota; Fungi; Mortierellomycota. The record is from RNAcentral.
CAAACAAGUGUUUAUGGCACUUUUAAACAAUCCAUAUCCACCUUGUGUGCAACGUUUGAAUUCGAUCCGCACGCUCGCUCUCCUUUAGUGCGAAAGCGUGUGUGGGGAAGGAUUCUCAACACUAUUAACUUAUCUUGAACUAUAGUUUGUCUUAAUUAACGUAUCAUGAAUUAACUUAAUUCGAAAUA